GGGGACGAUAUAGGUUUCGACGGAAAGUACUUUGACAAGACUGCAAGCCAAGUUUGAUCCGAACUUGUAAAAAUGGAUCGAAAACCAAACGUCAACUAUACGAGACGUCUGGCUGAUCGCGCAGAGGCGUUUUUGGCCAGCUUGGUCGCAAGACCAGCUCUGAAUAUGCUUUACGCUUAAAGCCGGUGUUCGCGAAAUUUCGCUUUCAGGCCGUAUUCGCGGGCAUAAACCGCCUGAAUUAGUUUUUGGUUUUUGACCUUAAACCAAAGAUGAAGUAUUAAGGUAUUACUUUAGUCUCAUUUGCUGUUUUUUUAGAUUAAAGGAAAUAAUUAAAACAGAUAAGCUUGUAGAGGUUUUGUUGAUUAACUUUUCGGACGAGGGUUCGAAUCCCUCCGUCUCCACUA
Molecule: transfer-messenger RNA, 404 nt
Filed under: Patescibacteria group
Lineage: Bacteria
Also listed under: 2 other names
Description: 2-01-FULL-39-21 sp001792305 Standard tmRNA
Rfam family: transfer-messenger RNA
About the family: Bacterial tmRNA, also known as 10Sa RNA or SsrA, is named for its dual tRNA and mRNA-like properties. Its role is to liberate the mRNA from a stalled ribosome. To accomplish this part of the tmRNA is used as a reading frame that ends in a translation stop signal.
Source: RNAcentral